Long non-coding RNA from Eucalyptus grandis, 519 nucleotides. RefSeq lists it as uncharacterized. The transcript has 2 exons. The record is from RefSeq and is a predicted model, not a curated record. Lineage: Eukaryota; Viridiplantae; Streptophyta; Magnoliopsida; Myrtales; Myrtaceae.
UUCUUGCACUGUCAGGGACGAUUGAUGCACGUGGUAAGCCGGUCCUUCUCUGUGCAUGCCUUGACAACACUGUUCAGUUGUACGAGCUCCCAUCGUUCACCGAAAGGGGCAAGAUAUUCUCAAGACGAGAAGUUAGGACUCUUCAAACGGCUCCCGGAGGCCUAUUCUUCACGGGAGAUGCUGCGGGGAUACUGACCGUUUGGAACUGGUUGGAUUCUCCAAAGAGCCAAAAAGAGCAGCUUCCUCAACCGAUGGAGUCAUGCUAAGUAGAAGACAGAAUCAAAGCUAUUGACAUUGGAGUUCAAAUUUCGCAAGGAAGACAAUGUCAUCUAUGCUACGAUGCAACUGGGAUUGUGAUUGAGAGCAAGAAACGGGACGGCUGUAGCUGCUGUCUGCCCCGCAAUACCAGUUUUUGGGCUGUCUUUUUUGUACAGACAUUGAUUUUUUUGACAGCGACGGCUGGACUUGUAUAUGAUUCCUGAUUAGUAAUUGAAAUGCCUUUUGCUUGUCGAAUGGAAA